CUGGGGAGAAAGACCCACCUCAGCAGCUCUUGGCACACCAGAAGCCAAUCAGGAGAAAGAGGAAGGAAGUUUGGAGGAAGAGAAAAACAUUGAUGUGAAAGAGACACAUCCACAUAUACCCCAACCGGGCCAGGGAUUGAACCUGCAACCCAGCCUCGUGUCCCAGCUGGCCUUUUGAGUAUACUCUUCCCCUGACCUCACCCUCAUAUCCUACCAAAGAGCCCACUCAGUCUAUCCUACCCCUGAGGGUCCUAGACCUGGAACUUAAAUGCUGGAAGCUCAGGGCCCUGCUUGGCUCUAAGCUUCUGAAUUCAGGAUGGUCAAGGGGAUUACA
Molecule: long non-coding RNA, 334 nt
Organism: Eptesicus fuscus (big brown bat)
Lineage: Eukaryota; Metazoa; Chordata; Mammalia; Chiroptera; Vespertilionidae
Exons: 3
Source: RefSeq, a predicted model, not a curated record